UUCCGACGGUUGAUGCUGUAGGCUGCCACCGACCCCGGAUCGGGCUCCAGCUCGGGUCCUGACCCUGCUCCCACGAAGGGGACGGAGCGCCCAAUCAAUAAAGUGGGAAGAAAAAGACAAGAAAAUGACGUUUGACUUUGACCACAGCCCCCCACCAGGGGGAGGAGAGGAGAGACGGUGCCGGCUGCCCAAGGGGAAGAUUAUAGGAAGUGCUUCAGCAUGUAGUAGGGACAAAGAUGGGUUUCGGGACAUUCGUGGGCAUUGGAGCAACCAUCUUUGUGCUCAUUGUGGUCACCAUCAUCCUCUGUUUAACGUGUUCCUGCUGCUGUUUGUACAAGAUGUGCCGAAGGCCCAGACCUGUGGUGACAACCACGUCGACUACUGUGGUCCACUCUGCAUACCCACAGCAGCAAGGUGUGCCACCUGGUUACCCUGGGGCCAUGUACCAAGGCUACCAACCUAUGCCUGUCCAGCCUGGGAUGCCAGUUGCGCCUUAUCCAACGCAGUACCCACCACCCUACCCUGCCCAGCCUACUGGACCUCCUGCCUACCACGAGACUCAGUCUGCAGGUGCUGGAGCGCCAUACCCAAUCAGCCAACCUCCAUACAACCCUGCAUACAUGGAGCCUCCAAAGACUGCCUAUUGAGUUGCUUCUGAGCUGUGCCCCUGAAGGCCCCCCGCCCCUUUUCCUCCUCUUCCUGCCUAUCACUGUGUGUUUGAGCAUGUGGGAAUGUGUGUCUGUGUCGUCUUCUCUUCUCCCAAGUAAAUGCAAGCUGUAUGUUGUACUUGUAACAUUCUGUUUCCCCACAAUAUAUGGGCCGGGAUGAGAGACAGUGAAACGACACUUCCUAAAACUUUCCUCAGAUAAUUCUUGAAAAUAAGUUGGUGUGAUUUUUGCCAAAUCACAGAAAAAAAGGAAGAAGCUUGUGAAACCAGCAUUAGUUAGGGCAGUGUUUGGAGGACAUUUGGGAGACAGACACAUGUUAAAAGGAAUAGAUGAAAACACUCAUGUCAGCACACGGCUCUUCACCGUGCCAUGAGUUGCCGACCUUGACCUGAAGAUCAGAAGAGGCCCCCUGUCCUGGUGCUGGUUCCUGAAGGCCUCACAGAACUCACAUCCUCCAUAGUGCCCUGCUGAUCAGUUUAGAGAGGACAGCAGCAACAUCAAGUGGUCAGUGGCUUUGGCUCUCUGACCAGGUCAGCUUCAGGGUGUUUGUUUAAAAUUCUCAUCCGCUCUGUUCUGGCCAAGAGACAUUGUCAGAUGCAGCAUAAUUCACUCUCUGCUCCUAGGGGCCUCAGCUCCUUCCAUCUCAGGGUCCCUGCCGGGGCCCCAGCUCUCCCUCUCCAUCCAGUUUCCAUGUGGAAAGAGGAUUAGAUGGGGACUUCACCCUCCUGGCUGCUGAGAGGAACCUGGAGUCAGCCAGGAGUGUGCGUCUAUCUGUGUUCUGGGAUUCGGGAAGGAUCCUCUUGCAUCUGAGGUCUGAAUUGUUUGUUUUAGUCAUUAAACAGAUCUGGCCAGCAUUUGGCUGAAGAAGGUAGAUAGAAAUGUUGCCCCUUCCUCUGUCAGAGAAGGGAGAUAAGAUGGGUGCUAGGUUUAUCUCAGUUCUGUUUGCUGAGCUGCUUUUUCCCAUUCAUUCUCUCAUCAGGAAGGACAUCCAGACUCAGGUUUGUCAACCCACGUUCUCUCUUAGUAUUUUUUAAACUUAUCCCAGGGCUGGUAGCCGUUGGGAUGGGACCUGUUUGUUUUCGGGGGCAAGAGAUUUUGAUGACAUUUAAGGUGCAAGUAGCAUAUGCUCAGACUUGCCCAUGGUGGGUGGGGUGCAGGAUGGAUAGGGAAGAAACAGAAGGGGAUGGUGCCACAGAGGAGAGGGGGCCAACCAGAUUCCCUCUCUAUUCUUCUAUAAUUGGAGGGAAAUGGAUUGAGAUGAGGGUCCCUUUUAAGGGGUCCCUUCUAGCUUCAAAAUACUAUAACCUAGCUUGGGUCCCCUCCUCCUCUUCAGUUAAUCCUAUCCUUCCUCUUCCAAAACCCAAAAGGAAAGGGGUUAGAUGGAAUGGCACUGAAGGCUGAUCGUGGAUUGGCUGGGUCCUGUCUAGGAGGGGGAUGGGCAUUUGGUUUCAGAGCACAGGACUUUUCUGGUCUCAUCCUUUGGUAACUCUCAUUCUCUCAUUUGUAACCAGUUGCCUCUGUGUGUUCUGUGAAGGGGCCUGUUCCUGUUUGGGCCAAGCUCUUAUUUGUAAUAAACCUAUGGAUUUGAAAAUGACUCUUCUUCA
Molecule: long non-coding RNA, 2272 nt
Organism: Phascolarctos cinereus (koala)
Lineage: Eukaryota; Metazoa; Chordata; Mammalia; Diprotodontia; Phascolarctidae
Source: Ensembl